GACGAACGCUGGCGGCGUGCCUAAUACAUGCAAGUAGAACGCUGAAGCGAGGAGCUUGCUCUUCUUGGAUGAGUUGCGAACGGGUGAGUAACGCGUAGGUAACCUGCCUGGUAGCGGGGGAUAACUAUUGGAAACGAUAGCUAAUACCGCAUAAAAUGGAUUAUCGCAUGAUAAUCCAUUGAAAGGUGCAAAUGCAUCACUACCAGAUGGACCUGCGUUGUAUUAGCUAGUUGGUGGGGUAACGGCUCACCAAGGCGACGAUACAUAGCCGACCUGAGAGGGUGAUCGGCCACACUGGGACUGAGACACGGCCCAGACUCCUACGGGAGGGAGCAGUAGGGAAACUUCGGCAAUGGACGGAAGUCUGACCGAGCAACGCCGAGUGAGUGAAGAAGGGUUUCGGAUCGGAAAGCUCUGUUGUAAGAGAAGAACGAGUGUGAGAGUGGAAAGUUCACACUGUGACGGUAGCUUACCAGAAAGGGACGGCUAACUACGUG
Molecule: ribosomal RNA, 497 nt
Filed under: uncultured bacterium
Lineage: Bacteria
Description: partial 16S ribosomal RNA
Rfam family: Bacterial small subunit ribosomal RNA
Source: RNAcentral